GACGAACGCUGGCGGCGUGCUUAACACAUGCAAGUCGAACGGAAAGGCCCUGCUUGCGGGGUACUCGAGUGGCGAACGGGUGAGUAACACGUGGGUGAUCUGCCCUGCACUUCGGGAUAAGCCUGGGAAACUGGGUCUAACACCGGAUAGGAGCCAUUUUUAGUGUGAUGGUUGGAAAGUUUUUUCGGUGUAGGAUGAGCUCGCGGCCUAGCAGCUUGUUGGUGGGGUAAUGGCCUACCAAGGCGGCGACGGGUAGCCGGCCUGAGAGGGUGGACGGCCACAUUGAGACUGAGAUGCGGCCCAGACUGCUACGGGAGGCAGAAGUGGGGAAUAUUGCACAAUGGGCGCAAGCCUGAUGCAGCGACGCCGCGUGGGGGAUGACGGCCUUCGGGUUGUAAACUCAUUUCGCUAGGGACGAAGCUUUUUGUGACGGUACCUAGAUAAGAAGCACCGGCUAACUACGUG
RNAcentral lists this ribosomal RNA (465 nucleotides) under uncultured bacterium. RNAcentral's name for it is "partial 16S ribosomal RNA". It matches the Rfam family "Bacterial small subunit ribosomal RNA", at positions 28 to 507 of the family's 1533-position model. The record is from RNAcentral.